UUUUUUCCCCUCUUUAACAUGUAUUAGAUGAAUAUAUUCAGAAAAGAGGAGUGUUUAGGUUAAUUAUUUCACUAACUCAUCAGUUUCUGCUUUCCAAGAUAUAAAAUAUGACGCAGAGUAAAAAUGAGCUUUGAAAUAAUUAGUUCAAGGCUUUUCCUUUUCUUUUCUUUUCUUUUUUUUUUUUUUUUUUUUUUUACAAAAAACGGGAUCAGAUAGAAACAAGUAAUUAGUUCGUUCGUUACAUUGUUCUUUCUUGUUAACACAUAAAAACAAUUACGAAGCAUGAAGACAUUUUUAGGAUAAUUAUUACACUGAUUUCAUUUUUCUUGUUCUUUGCAUUUAAAAAGAGCAUGACAUAUAAGUUGCUAGAAAAAUCAUUUUUAAGUGAAUUCCAUUCUGGUAAAUGAGGUCAGACUAAUGGUCUUCAUGAUUGAAGUUUUCUGAAGUAGUGCCAGUUGGCAAAUUAGACUUAUUAUCUCCCCUACAGAAAAAAAAAAAAAAAUGUUUUUUUUUUUUUUUGUUUUGUUUUUUUCUUUUAAUGUAAAUACAGAUCCUUCAUUUACUAUCAGUUAUUUGGAAAUGUCACCAUGAUUUCCUAUAAGAAUACAAAUACCUUUUUACCUCAUUGAUCUGUCAGUUCAGUCUAGUGCUCUGGCUCUCAGCAGCCGUUGCCCCACUACACUGAUGGUGUCCCAAGCUAUAAGCAUGAGAGAAACAUCACUCAGGGAAGGAAAUGGCCACAUGAAGCACCCAAAUCAUACCUCUGCUCUCAUAAGUGGGCUCCUAUGAGUGGGCUAAAUCCCAGAGGAAGCAUACAAGAACAGAAGUGUAUUCCAGAGUACCUGGAGUCUGAGUGACAGACACUGGUAAAUGGGACUUUGCUGAUAAAUUUCCAUUUAGUCCUGGUGCAUUAACUAUUUCAUUUUUGUAGGCUUGUAAUCUUCUGAGGAAAAAUAUUCUCAGAGCUGUUGAUCUGACCUAGUUUUUGUUUCAUUUGUGUCCCAAUGUGGUGUAUCAUUUAGUUAUGAAAAAAUAAAAAUAAAAAAAAUACAGCCA
This 1056-nucleotide long non-coding RNA is filed under the name Anas platyrhynchos platyrhynchos (common mallard). RNAcentral describes it as "lncRNA (ENSAPLG00000028534.1)". Lineage: Eukaryota; Metazoa; Chordata; Aves; Anseriformes; Anatidae. The record is from RNAcentral.